UACGAAUACCGAAGAAUGUUAUCACGGGAGACACACGGCGGGUGCUAACGUCCGUCGUGAAGAGGGAAACAACCCAGACCGCCAGCUAAGGUCCCAAAGUCAUGGUUAAGUGGGAAACGAUGUGGGAAGGCACAGACAGCCAGGAUGUUGGCUUAGAAGCAGCCAUCAUUUAAAGAAAGCGUAAUAGCUCACUGGUCGAGUCGGCCUGCGCGGAAGAUGUAACGGGGCUAAACCAUGCACCGAAGCUGCGGCAGCGACACUAUGUGUUGUUGGGUAGGGGAGCGUUCUGUAAGCCUGCGAAGGUGUGCUGUGAGGCAUGCUGGAGGUAUCAGAAGUGCGAAUGCUGACAUAAGUAACGAUAAAGCGGGUGAAAAGCCCGCUCGCCGGAAGACCAAGGGUUCCUGUCCAACGUUAAUCGGGGCAGGGUGAGUCGACCCCUAAGGCGAGGCCGAAAGGCGUAGUCGAUGGGAAACAGGUUAAUAUUCCUGUACUUGGUGUUACUGCGAAGGGGGGACGGAGAAGGCUAUGUUAGCCGGGCGACGGUUGUC
RNAcentral lists this ribosomal RNA (548 nucleotides) under Klebsiella pneumoniae. RNAcentral's name for it is "partial 23S ribosomal RNA". It matches the Rfam family "Bacterial large subunit ribosomal RNA", at positions 955 to 1506 of the family's 2925-position model. Lineage: Bacteria; Pseudomonadati; Pseudomonadota; Gammaproteobacteria; Enterobacterales; Enterobacteriaceae. The record is from RNAcentral.